This 484-nucleotide ribosomal RNA is filed under the name uncultured bacterium. RNAcentral describes it as "partial 16S ribosomal RNA". It matches the Rfam family "Bacterial small subunit ribosomal RNA", at positions 30 to 507 of the family's 1533-position model. The record is from RNAcentral.
AUUGAACGCUGGCGGCAGGCCUAACACAUGCAAGUCGAGCGGAUGAAGGGAGCUUGCUCCUGGAUUCAGCGGUGGACGGGUGAGUAAUGCCUAGGAAUCUGCCUGGUAGUGGGGGAUAACGUCCGGAAACGGGCGCUAAUACCGCAUACGUCCUGAGGGUGAGAGUGGGGGAUCUUCGGACCUCACGCUAUCAGGUGAGCCUAGGUCGGAUUAGCUAGUUGGUGGGGUAAAGGCCUACCAAGGCGACGAUCCGUAACUGGUCUGAGAGGAUGAUCAGUCACACUGGAACUGAGACACGGUCCAGACUCCUACGGGAGGCAGCAGUGGGGAAUAUUGGACAAUGGGCGAAAGCCUGAUCCAGCCAUGCCGCGUGUGUGAAGAAGGUCUUCGGAUUGUAAAGCACUUUAAGUUGGGAGGAAGGGCAGUAAGUUAAUACCUUGCUGUUUUGACGUUACCAACAGAAUAAGCACCGGCUAACUUCGUG